Molecule: long non-coding RNA, 2830 nt
Organism: Apis cerana (Asiatic honeybee)
Lineage: Eukaryota; Metazoa; Arthropoda; Insecta; Hymenoptera; Apidae
Source: RefSeq, a predicted model, not a curated record
CUUGGAUAUUAAUUAAAGAUCGGCUCGAUUAACUCGAGAGACGUUCACAUAAUGAAUGGAGAUAGUUAACUCGAAACAUGUUUGACUACUGUGAAGAUUCAACUCGAUAUUUCUUCGCAUCGAUCGCGAGUAAGGGAAGCAUCGAUAAAGAGUGUGAAGAGAAAAACUAUCUAAUUAGUCGAGAUCGAAUCCAAAGGCGCUCAAAAAUUCGAAUAAAGGGACAAUAAUAAAUGCACUAGCAAAAUAACAUCGUUUAAAAAGCCGUCUAUACAUACGAGCGAGUGCAGUGCGUGGUAUGUAAUUCCGUUUGCCAUCAUUGUUUCUUUCAUGUAUUCGCGGCUACGUGUAAUUAAUCAUAAUGGAUAGAGUUAUCGAUCCCUUCGAAGGGUGUUUCUUUGUUGACGUAGGCUCUUGUGCGCGCAUAAUGAUCUUUCUAACAAAAAUUAUCUAAACACCUUGGAAAGUAACUAUUCUACGAAUAAACAUUCCAUGAAAAGAAUCACCCAACAAAAUGAAACACUCUAUAAAAAUGUUGAAAGAAGAUAUUUCGUGUGAGCGGAGAAUCUGUUACAUUGUAUAUAUCUUUCAUUGGAUUUAAUCAUUCCGAAAAAAUAUACAGAUUGAAAUAUAUUCGCGUUCCAUAAUUCAGGGAAACUGAUCAAUUCCUCUGGACACUUACUGUCAAAACUGACAAACAGUUCGGGCAUAUCUUCGACAGAGACCAUACUACGAUAGUCCAAUCGAGGAGCCGUUGUCGAAGUUUUGCUACCUCGACUACUGUCCACGCUGCUGCUACCUGACGAUGUCAAUGGUUGCUGUCUGAUGAAUGUGCCCACGGAAGACCGCCUGAAAGAAAGUGAUAAUGUUAGAGAAUAGGCACAAAGAUGUUUUCAAAAUUGCGUUUCAAAAUCACGAGUACACGAGAUUCUCUGACUUUCGUGUUCCCUGUAAUUUCGAAGCAAUGUACACUGAUCAAUAUACAAUAUGGUAAAGAGCAAUUAAAUCUUAAGGGAAACAACAACAUUCAAGAUAAAUGUUAAAAUUGUAUCCAACGUGUAUGCAUCGUGAAAUAAAGUUCAAUGACUGCUCAGGGAAUAUUAAAACGCUGUGUUUUUGAUUGAUCGGUGAAUCGUGUGUUGUUUGUAAGCGAUACACAUUAUUCGGUCUUGGUGUAGUUUCUGAAAAAAAUGAUGGUAAGUUUACCUGAAAAGCGGGAAAACGGAGGAAGAAUGUUCUUUCUCAAUCUUUGAGAAAGAUUUAAAAAAAAAUAUAAACAAAUAAAUAAAAUGAAAGAUAGAUGAAGAGUGUUGUUCCUGAGAAGCUCGAAACAGUGAAAUUUAUGAAAAACUAGUACAAUUAUACUUAUAUAUAUAUCGUUUGUUCAUUAAACAACUUAUAAUGAAAGGAUGUUACAGAUGAAUGAAUGAUCUUAGAUGUAAUUAUGGGAAAAUAGCAAGAAACAAACUAGAAAUCUAAGAAGAUAAAUGUUUAAUAAAAAUAAUAUAAAAUUUAACAGCCAAUCAGAGAUAGGAAGAGAAAGAUAGAGAAAGAGCAAAAGAGAGCGGAACAAUAGUGGGCAAGAAAAAAAAAUAUAAGGACAAAGUGGAUUAAUAUGGAUACAAUAUAAACUUGCUGGUUCAUGACUGGGCCUAAACUCACCCUAUAAGCCCUCCUGGACCAGGUGAAAUCUGAGGAUUGCUGGAGUCCUGGGAGAGAGAGGAGGCGGUAAGCGGAGGUGUUCCUCCAGCUCUACCGCCCCCACCGCUCUCUUCGCUGGGAGUUUUAGCAAACAGGCCCGAGCUAAAGUCACUCACCAGGUUGAUCGGCGAGCUUAUAUCCACCACCAUUACAUAUUCUUUGUUAGUCACAUUGGAAACGAUAGUUAAACUUUAUUUUUAACACAGAUUUACCAUCACAGUCUGAUUGAUAAUACUGGUCUCAAAAUGAUAUAGAAUAUAUCUACAAUGCUAAUUAAUAAAAAAGUUUGAAAAAGAUGAAAAAUGGAAAAGCAAAAUUGAAAAAAACGGACUAUGAUGGUACAAGAUUAGAUUGAAGACAAGGACGUAAUUGGAACUGCCACACGUGCCCAUUCCUUUGAUUUCUUUACUCCAUUUAGAAAUUGAAAAAAGAUAUAUCCCAAAGCGCGUUUCGCAAAUGCAAUAAGCCGCUUGCUUCUACGCGCAAAUUUCUAAUAAAUAUUCUAUAUUAAAAUAAAUGAGGAUAUUCAUAAUAAAACUCGUUUCUAAGAACUAUAAAACGUUUUUAUUACGUAUGUGCGUGAUAUAAGCAAUUCGUUUCAUUAUGAAUAGCCUCAAGUACGCUAUAAAUAUUACUUUUAGUUCUAAAAAAUUUCAGCAGAAAGCAAUCACACGAAAAACAAACGUUACAUCAUAUAAAGGAGGCCAGACCAUUGAAAACCUUCCUUGUAUAUAAAAAGUAUGCAAAAUUGUUUUUUCAUUGAAUUACUCAUUUCUAACAUACACGAAUGAUAAAGUAAAACAUAAAAGCAUAUAUGAUUAAUUUUUGAAUAAAAUUAUUGUACCAUAUAAGAUACAAGAAAAUUUUUAUAAAAAUUUUAUGGACUUAUAAACAAGGAUAAUUAUUAUCACCUUGAGAAAACUUUGCUGAAAACUGAUGAAUGAUGAGAAUCCGCGCUAUUAGGAAGGCUCGAAACUUUAUCAGAUCCAGAUUUAUCAUCUUCUUUUUCACCAGUUAAUCCUUCCAUCCAUGACAAAGGAUAUGAUAAUCGUUUUAACAUCUGAAUAAUAAUUGUUAAACAAGAUAAGAAUUAGAUUAAAUGGAUAUCAAGUAUAUAAAUUUUAAUAUUACC